UUCAUUGGACAAACGUGAAGUUAGGUUGCCUGAUCAGGUGAGCCGACUUUUAAACAGAGUAGAACUAGAAUCAAGUUUUGACCUAAACUGUGAAAUUUGCCACACUAUGACAAUUUCAGUGUUUAUAAAUUGAUUCUAAAAGUCAUCAAGUCUACUGCGGUUUCUUGCUGUUUCAGCUGAUAUUUUCUCUGCACUGCCAUAUGUCAUUUUGGAGAAAAGUGCAACAUGCUUCUUGAAUGCAGUGAGCUGUAAAGUGGCAAACAAAAUUAUACAGUAAAAUAUAAAGUCUGUACUUGCAGACUUAAACAUUUUGUCAAAGGCUACAUCAUAACAUAAACCAAGAUGUUACCUAAAGACCACAAAAACUCAAAGGAUGCAAGUUUACAUGCUUGAUGUAUCAGCAAGCCAUUGGAGUCCUUAUGUAGUAGUUUACAUGGAAAAUGAUCAUUCUAUACAAAAUGAACAGCUUUUUUAUUAAGGAAAAUAAAAUAAUUAUACAAAUGAAAACAUGACACAUAAUAGCUGAUAGCUACAAAAUUGGUAGGGACUAUUCUGUAAUCAUGCUCUUCUUUAUUUUCCUAUACCCCUUUUGUUUUACUGAAUGGUCUCUGUGAGCCUGACAGCUUUAAAGUAAAGUCAAAUAUGUGAUCUAAUGCAGGGGAAAGGCUGGUUAAUGCCCUUAAAACAACAUAUUUCAUUGGCACACAACAGAUGUCCUUAUGGCAACAUGAUUGUAUUCUCACAUAUGACAUGAGUGACAAAUCUUGGCUAUCCAUGUGGUAGGUUUGGCUCAUCUGCUUGCUUGCAGACUCUUACAAAAAUCUCCCUCUCUCUCUCGCUCUCUCUCUCUGAUUUAAAUGAGGCACUGUUUCAAUGUUAGCUCGGAGCCAUUGAGCCAAAGACAUAUUGCCAUCAAACGCUGCCAUCACUGGCCUGUCACCCCCUGUCUGUCAACUGUUACUUAGCAACAGCAGAACACGAGAGAGAGGCUAAUUUGAGCCAUCCUGAAUCCAUCUGCUUCUGAUUUCAGCUGCAAAAAAAAAAAAAAAACAUUACUUCCACCCCAGUCAGUGGUCAUAGUCAUCGCAGAGAUGUGCUGAGGAGCGUUAACACGCCAGUGAACAGAGAUGGGCUUUUUAAGGCUGUGGUAAAGGCUAACAGUUUAACAGAGUUAAACGAGAAAGAGACACAUUGGAGAUGGGGAGGAUCAGAUAACAAGAAUAAAUGAAGAGCAGAGAGAGGAUGUUGGGCCAGAUAAAAGAAGAAAACAAAAAGGAACGAAUGAUAAUUAGAGAAAAUUGAUUUUGGAAAUUGGUCCAACGAGGGCGAUCAAUCGGUCCUGUUACUAUGCAAAGAGAAGAACAGGAAAAUAAUGCAGGCUCACAGGGUGGAUGAAUGCCAGAGAAUCUGCCCCAUGGGCCCGGCAGUCUGUCGCUCUGCUCCAGAUAGAGGGAGAAGGGAGCUGUGCUAAACUACACUGAUCUACACCGCCCUACGCUGCUCUAAACAACUCCACACCGCUCUUCGCCGCUUUACAUCUUUCUGUGCCACUGAAAACCAAUCAAAAAUGGUCUGUAUAUCACUCUGUACCGUUCUUUCGAAACCUAUAUUUCUGUCUACCGCUCUCCCUACUGCUCUAAAUCACUCCAUACAGCUCUGUGUUACUCUACACAGCUGUACAUGUGGCUCUUCUGGCUGGAGAGGCCUGGAUUAUUGAGAUGUCGUGUUCAGGGAAAUUAGACACUUUUUGGGCCUAAUCCCCCUUUAAAACAUUGGUCAUGCUGUUUGUGCAAUCUAUGAACAUUUCUAAAACAUGUUAAAGGGAUAGUUCACCCUAAAAUGAAAAUGCUGUCAUCAUUUAAUCACGCUCAUGGCAUUUAAAAUCUGUUUUUGAGAAUACAAAAUGGAUUAUUCUGUGGCUUGCUAGCUAUAUUCCAAGCCUUCUUUUUAAACGUUUCCACCGCUAAACAUUAUGAUGCCCUUGCAAGGGAACCCGUUCCUAAAAUAUAAAGGCAGCUAUAUAUUUUCAUGCAUAAGAAAACAUUCAUACUACUACUACUAAUAAUAAUAAUUAUAAUUAUAUUACAUUCUUAUUUUCUUUUCUCUAAUUGUAUUUCACCCAAG
Molecule: long non-coding RNA, 2124 nt
Organism: Cyprinus carpio carpio
Lineage: Eukaryota; Metazoa; Chordata; Actinopteri; Cypriniformes; Cyprinidae
Source: Ensembl